GAACGCGAAGAACCUUACCAAAUCUUGACAUACUCUUGAAUAGUUUUGUAAUGAAGCUAGCCCUUCGGGGCAAGGGAUACAGGUGGUGCAUGGUUGUCGUCAGCUCGUGUCGUGAGAUGCUGGGUUAAGUCCCGCAACGAGCGCAACCCUUGUCGUCAGUAGCCAGCAGUAAGAUGGGCACUCUGACGAGACAGCCGGAGAUAAUCCGGAGGAAGGUGGGGAUGACGUCAAAUCAUCAUGCCCCUUAUGAUUUGGGCUACACACGUGCUACAAUGGCGUAAACAAAGUGAGGCAAAGCUGCGAAGCCAAGCAAAUCACAAAAAUAACGUCUCAGUUCGGAUUGUAGUCUGCAACUCGACUAUAUGAAGCUGGAAUCGCUAGUAAUCGCAGAUCAGAAUGCUGCGGUGAAUACGUUCCCGGGUCUUGUACACACC
Molecule: ribosomal RNA, 434 nt
Filed under: uncultured bacterium
Lineage: Bacteria
Description: bacterial SSU rRNA
Rfam family: Bacterial small subunit ribosomal RNA
Source: RNAcentral